GGAAGGGUUAUGUAUGAAGCUGGACGUUGGUGGUCUGCUGGGUCAAGAGUAGAUUCAGAAUCAGAAUUGUUAGGGGUAUGAUGUUUUAUGUGAAGGAGAAAGAUCUGAUGGCUAGAGCAGGACUAAGAGAGAGGAUUGGGACUGAAGAGUGAAAAAGGCCUGGAUGUAGGGAAUCUCUGACCAUUUUCC
This is a long non-coding RNA of Pipistrellus kuhlii (Kuhl's pipistrelle), 189 nucleotides long. RefSeq lists it as uncharacterized. Lineage: Eukaryota; Metazoa; Chordata; Mammalia; Chiroptera; Vespertilionidae. The transcript has 4 exons. The record is from RefSeq and is a predicted model, not a curated record.